AAAUCUUAGCAGUGGAUCACUCGGCUCGUGCAUCGAUGAAGAACGCAGCUAGCUGCAAGAACUAAUGUGAAUUGCUGGACACAUUGAUCAUCGAUACUUCGAAUGCACAUUGCGGCCCUGGGUUCCUCCCGAGGCCACGCCUGUCUGAGGGUCG
Ribosomal RNA from Myxocyprinus asiaticus (Chinese sucker), 154 nucleotides. RefSeq annotates it as 5.8S ribosomal RNA. The transcript has a single exon. Lineage: Eukaryota; Metazoa; Chordata; Actinopteri; Cypriniformes; Catostomidae. The record is from RefSeq and is a predicted model, not a curated record.